This is a long non-coding RNA of Oncorhynchus tshawytscha (Chinook salmon), 1746 nucleotides long. The record is from Ensembl. NCBI's taxonomy places the organism in Eukaryota, Metazoa, Chordata, Actinopteri, Salmoniformes, Salmonidae.
CAGCCAAGCAUGCUAGCAGCCAAGCAUGCUAGCAGCCAAGCAUGCUAGCAGCCAAGCAUGCUAGCAGCCAAGCAUGCUAGCAGCCAAGCAUGCUACUUAUUGAAUAACUAACGUAUUACCCAACUCACAGUCAAUUCUCAGGGCUCCCAAAUUACUUUCUACUUGAAAUACAAUUUUAUUACUUAAUUAAAACGUACAAAUGGAUUCUAAUAAAUAUUUUUUGUGCCAGAUAUUCUAAUAAGGUAGGAUGUUUUUAUUUUUUUAUCUUACACCCAAUCAUUAACCCAUGGAUGGAUAUACAUUUUUAAAAAUGUACCCUUCGAUUAGUUUAGACAUGUGACCUUUAAACUACCCAAACAUACGGUAUAUUCACCUUUCCUUUGUGGGCUGAAUCUGCCUGGUUUUAGAGAAGUGCUUUACUAGAUGGUGUCCUAUUGCCUUUACUAGUGUAUGCUGUUGGACCAGAGAAGUCCUUACCAAGAAGUCCUUUUUUGAGCCAAUUGACUGAUAUGAAAGUAUGUUGGAGAACAGACAUGUCCUAAACGGAACGAUAUACUGUAUUGUCGUCUUACAGUAAUGUGUUUUUUAUUUUUUUUACAUGUUAAGUCAUUUCGAAGGUACUGUACUAGAAUCUGUUUGUGUUUUAGUUUUUUAAGGUAUUCUGGUGAUAGUUUGGUUUACCAGUCUGUUUCUACAUUGUUUGUAAAUGACAAUGAGUUAACGUUACAGCACAAACAGAUCUGGGACCAGGCUAGUCUUGAUAUUUCUCCCAGGUGUUGUUGUCUGUGUCACACUGCUUUACUUUAUCUUGGCCAGGUCGCUCUUGUAAAUGAGAACUUGUUCUCAACUAACCUACCUGGUUAAAUAAAGGUGUUCUCAACUAGCCUACCUGGUUCAAUAAAGGUGUUCUCAACUAGCCUACCUGGUUAAAUAAAGGUGUUCUCAACUAGUCUACCCGGUUCAAUAAAGGUGUUCUCAACUAGCCUACCUGGUUAAAUAAAGGUGUUCUCAACUAGUCUACCCGGUUCAAUAAAGGUGUUCUCAACUAGCCUACCUGGUUAAAUAAAGGUGAAAUCAAUAACAAUACCUGUAUAGCACAUGUUCAUAUGAAGUGGUCUCUGUUUGAAGUCAUCUUUUUGUACAGUUGUCCCCGUAUGAGUUUCAUGUCUAUGUGCGUUUGAGUGUUGUACUGCCUGGUUUCCUAGCCCGCCUGCUUGCCGUUAGGCUAGCCUGGUGCCAACUCUGUUUUGCGUUAUCACGUCAACUCCUUGUCAUAAUGGCACACACAUCUGGGAACAGGCUACAAUUCAGUAGGAAAUACAGCCAUCGAUUUCAUCCUCAAUUACCGUACUGAAUUUCAGUAACUACUCUUGCUCUCCCCCAGGACUAGGGUGAUGUUGACCCGGGAUGCUGAUCUUGGGUCAGUUUUGCAUUUCACUAAUGCUUAGGCUUGGGGAAGGUGGAAUCUGAUCCUAGAUCUGUAUCUAGGGGAAUCUGAUCCUAGGUCUGUAUAGUAGGGGAAUCUGAUCCUAGAUCUGUAUCUAGGGGAAUCUGAUACUAGAUCUGUAUCUAGUGGAAUCUGAUCCUAGAUCUGUAUCUAGGGGAAUCUGAUCCUAGAUCUGUAUCUAGGGGAAACUGAUCCUAGAUCUGUAUCUAGGGGAAUCUGAUCCUAGAUCUGUAUCUAGGGGAAACUGCGCCUUGGUGUUACCAGUCUUUUUCUCUGCAGUUUUCCUUUAUAGAUCGUGG